Long non-coding RNA from Cheilinus undulatus (humphead wrasse), 597 nucleotides. RefSeq lists it as uncharacterized. The record is from RefSeq and is a predicted model, not a curated record. NCBI's taxonomy places the organism in Eukaryota, Metazoa, Chordata, Actinopteri, Labriformes, Labridae. The transcript has 4 exons.
ACACUUCACAACUGUUGAAGAUACGCACACAUCUUACUCUGGUGAACUGCACACUCAUGCUGCCCUGGAGAUAACGUAUUUUUGGCCUACCUAACAAGCUGGAUCUCCUCUUACAAGUACCGCAGUGUUUUGGAACAGUAACUCUGCCUGGUGCAGACAGAGGCUCCUGAAACUGUGCCGUGAUGUUGACAGGAGCCGUGAUGACACCUACACCUGAGAACACCAAAGAAUAAAGAAAAGUAUUACUGCCAAGCAGACAGACAGCAUCCAGAGACUUGGGGAAGUCUGUGAUCUGCUAAAGAGCCAGGCUGGUAGGAAAAGGAGGCGACAGGGGGGAGAAGUCUGAGAAGGACCAAACACACGGCAGAGCGGCAGACCUGGGAACCCCCAACUCUACCUGCUUCACGUUCUCAGGGACAAGCUCGUCUAGUGUGCCUGUCAGCACAAGGAAAAACCACUUUAUGGAGUGUUCUUUUGGACAGUAGUGUCAGGACGCUCUCCCACACGGGACAUCCUGUACGAGACGUGGCACACAUAGAUAUGUCCACUUCAACUCCUGCAUCAAGCUGGCGGUACUCCUGGACUUGAACCUGCAGC